CCGGGUGAGUAACACGUAUCCAACCUGCCGUCUGCUCUUGGCCAGCCUUCUGAAGGAAGAUUAAUCCAGGAUGGGAUCAUGAGUUCACAUGUCCGCAUGAUUAAAGGUAUUUUCCGGUAGACGAUGGGGAUGCGUUCCAUUAGAUAGUAGGCGGGGUAACGGCCCACCUAGUCAACGAUGGAUAGGGGUUCUGAGAGGAAGGUCCCCCACAUUGGAACUGAGGCACGGUCCAA
This 233-nucleotide ribosomal RNA is filed under the name uncultured bacterium. RNAcentral describes it as "partial 16S ribosomal RNA". It matches the Rfam family "Bacterial small subunit ribosomal RNA", at positions 103 to 334 of the family's 1533-position model. The record is from RNAcentral.